Haliotis rubra (blacklip abalone) is the source of this 889-nucleotide long non-coding RNA. RefSeq lists it as uncharacterized. The record is from RefSeq and is a predicted model, not a curated record. Lineage: Eukaryota; Metazoa; Mollusca; Gastropoda; Lepetellida; Haliotidae. The transcript has 3 exons.
GUGCAGGUGUUGAAGUUAUUGGAGACAACAAUUAAGAUCGUGUCAAAAUCGAAGAAAGCAUUGCCAGAUUUAAUUACACGAAUGGAUGUGAAAGGUGCCGACUUCUCCUCACGAAGGAACGAAGCACCCAGACUGGUGCUAAUAAAUGGCACUAACACAAGCGCCUACAUUGUAGGAGACAACAUACAGAUGAAGGUCAGCAACAGUGUGUAGGAGACAACAUACAGAUGAAGGUCAGCAACAGUGUGUAGGAGACAACAUACAGAUGAAGGUCAGCAACAGUGUGUAGGAGACAACAUACAGAUGAAGGUCAGCAACAGUGUGUAGGAGACAACAUACAGAUGAAGGUCAGCAACAGUGUGUAGGAGACAACAUACAGAUGAAGGUCAGCAACAGUGUGUAGGAGACAACAUACAGAUGAAGGUCAGCAACAGUGUGUAGGAGACAACAUACAGAUGAAGGUCAGCAACAGUGUGUAGGAGACAACAUACAGAUGAAGGUCAGCAACAGUGUGUAGGAGACAACAUACAGAUGAAGGUCAGCAACAGUGUGCAGGAGACAACAUACAGAUGAAGGUCAGCAACAGUGUGCAGGAGACAACAUACAGAUGAAGGUCAGCAACAGUGUGUAGGAGACAACAUACAGAUGAAGGUCAGCAACAGUGUGUAGGAGACAACAUACAGAUGAAGGUCAGCAACAGUGUGUAGGAGACAACAUACAGAUGAAGGUCAGCAACAGUGUGUAGGAGACAACAUACAGAUGAAGGUCAGCAACAGUGUGUAGGAGACAACAUACAGAUGAAGGUCAGCAACAGUGUGUAGGAGACAACAUACAGAUGAAGGUCAGCAACAGUGUGUAGGAGACAACAUACAGAUGAAGGUCAGCAACA